RNAcentral lists this long non-coding RNA (103 nucleotides) under Papio anubis (olive baboon). Its description in RNAcentral is "lncRNA (ENSPANG00000039540.1)". The record is from RNAcentral. Lineage: Eukaryota; Metazoa; Chordata; Mammalia; Primates; Cercopithecidae.
GCAGGAAGAUACAGCUUGAGGAGCCAGAUGCAGCGGCUCACUCCUGUAAUCCCAGCGUUUUGGGAGGCCGAGUUCAAGUGAAGAUACAGGCAUGCCUCUUGGU